GUAUAUUGAAUAUUUUUUUCAUGAAUCAAAUUUGACAAUACGUACAAAAGAAUUAAAAUAUAGAAAAAACAAAAAUAAAAAAUUAGUGAAAAAAUUGGUGAAAGAAGAUUGAGAAAAAACCAAAGGCUCGAGUCUAACUGUCUAUAUAGGAAUCAAUGCACAUGACAAAACAACUCAUCAAAACAAUGACUAUAUAUAAAAUCG
Molecule: long non-coding RNA, 204 nt
Filed under: Salvia miltiorrhiza (redroot sage)
Lineage: Eukaryota; Viridiplantae; Streptophyta; Magnoliopsida; Lamiales; Lamiaceae
Description: long non-coding RNA (SMIL_LNC003604)
Source: RNAcentral